This 326-nucleotide ribosomal RNA is filed under the name uncultured eukaryote. RNAcentral describes it as "partial 18S ribosomal RNA". It matches the Rfam family "Eukaryotic small subunit ribosomal RNA", at positions 1470 to 1796 of the family's 1831-position model. The record is from RNAcentral.
CCCUUAGAUGUUCUGGGCCGCACGCGCGCUACACUGAUGAAGUCAACAAGUAUAUAACCUUGGCUGGAAAGUCUGGGUAAUCUUUUGAAACUUUAUCGUGCUGGGGAUAGUCCAUUGCAAUUAUUGGACUUGAACGAGGAAUUCCUAGUAAGCGUGAGUCAUCAGCUCGCGUUGAUUACGUCCCUGCCCUUUGUACACACCGCCCGUCGCUACUACCGAUUGAAUGGCUUAGUGAGGCCCUCGGAUUAGCUGUUGGUCCAGCAAUGGAUGCAAUAGCCGAGAAGUUGGUCAAACUUGGUCAUUUAGAGGAAGUAAAAGUCGUAACA